RNAcentral lists this ribosomal RNA (228 nucleotides) under uncultured bacterium. RNAcentral's name for it is "partial 16S ribosomal RNA". It matches the Rfam family "Bacterial small subunit ribosomal RNA", at positions 15 to 233 of the family's 1533-position model. The record is from RNAcentral.
GAUCAUGGCUCAGGUUGAACGCUGGCGGCGUGCUUAACACAUGCAAGUCGUACGCGAAAGGGACUUCGGUCCCGAGUAAAGUGGCGCACGGGUGAGUAACACGUGGAUGAUCUGCCUCUAUGAUGGGGAUAACAGUUGGAAACGACUGCUAAUACCGAAUACGCUCAUGAUGAACGUUGUGAGGAAAGGUGGCCUCUGCUUGCAAGCUAUCGCAUAGAGAUGAGUCCG